RNAcentral lists this long non-coding RNA (239 nucleotides) under Elaeis guineensis (African oil palm). RNAcentral describes it as "long non-coding RNA (EGUI_LNC008695)". Lineage: Eukaryota; Viridiplantae; Streptophyta; Magnoliopsida; Arecales; Arecaceae. The record is from RNAcentral.
UGCAGAACUGACCUAUCUACUUCAACGGGAGGCUAGCACCGGCCACACAGAUUUCCUCCACAAAAGCCGCUCCGCCCCCAUAGUCAGCUUUCCAUUCAAAUGGCUGGCUAAUUUGCCGAUUUGAUAUCAACCAAAAAAGAAAAAAUACCAAAACGAUCAGAGUCGGAUUGGAAUUAUACCGACAUGGCCACGGCCAGUUGAGAGAUAUUCGACUUGCCACCGUUUAUCAGAUAAUACAA